GGUAGGACCACGGCCUCACCGACAUGGCCCCAGCUAAUUGGUGGAUCCUGGGUUCAACCCUCCCGGAAUCCGAGCGUGGGUCCGGGGCCGGGAAGAAAAGAAAGUCACCCAGGACUACAAUUCCCACAAUGCACUACAUGGGCUUCUCUCGACGUGUGCUCUUGGAAAACGUAGUACAUUGUGGGGCAAGAUUUAAAAAUGCAGGUCCAUAAAGACAGAGAUGAGAAAGCGACAUACAUUCAGGAUAUAGACUUGGUCCAAGGAGCAGAAAGAUACUCAGAUUCCCUUCUGGUUUAUGUGGAAGACGGUCAUGUUAAAUUUCUCUUGAGAACACUCAUUGAGAGGGCCUCCAGGCCUUUCCCAUCAUCAUUGCUGAUGGAGCCCAUGACCAACACUUACCACGGAGGUGUGGGGGAGCAAUGGGAAGAAUCCUGGAACACAGUCCCCUGUGCUCAUCACCAUCAUAGUGUUGCUCCAGAUGUAAUUCAGGGGUUAACAAUGACGAUGCCUAGGACCCAUCUCAAGCAUAUGGAAUGAGGAUCUCUGACCAGAGGAUCUUCAUUUGCAAUCUGGCCGUGUGAUGUGCAAAGCUGAAGAUCAGUGGAGACCAGCCCUCUUGGAUGGCAAUAAGCCCUGAACCAGAUAAACUGGAACACCAAAAAUUUUGCUGUCUUAUAUUUAAUGGUGAGCUGUCCCUGAGGGAAAUAGCAGAGGGGGAGGAAAGCCAGAGGGGCGUCCUGAUUUUUAUUUCUUCCAUCUGGCAGUGUAGUUAACUCAGGAUCAUUCCUCAGAUGGAAUCAUGUCCCUGAAAUGGUGACAGAGAGGUUACUGGGGGCAAAUGGGGUGGAAGGCUUGAUCGGGGGCAGAGGUUACCUAUCUUGGGGGAUAAACAUCUCUUCCUUUUAGAUUAUGCUCUCAGCCCCUCUCCUCUUGGGCGAGACUUGGUUGGAUAACCUGGGGACUGUUCCCCACUAUCUUCUAGGAGAGCACAUUUCAGCUUUGUCUGUCUUCUCCUCUUUGCCUUGUCGACUCAUUCAAAAUCUAUUCUGAGAGACUUUCCUUCCCCACCAUACCUGAAACAGACUAUCAUCUCUCAUUGCGCUGUGAUUCUGUAUUUUCUUUAAAGAUCCUCUGAUGGGGCACCCAGGUGGCUCAGUUGGUUCGACGUCUGACUUCGGCUCAGGUCAUGAUCUCACAGCUCGUGGGUUUGAGCCCCACAUCGGGCUCUGUGAUGACAGCUCAGAGCCUGGAGCCUGCUUCAUAUUCUGUGUCUCCCUCUCUCUCUGCUCCUCCCCUGCUCACACUUUGUGUGUGUGUGUGUGUGUCUCUCUCUCUCAAAAAUAAGUAAACAUUGAAAAACAUUUAAAAAAAAUAAAGAAUUCUGACAUUAAUAGGUUACUUCCA
Molecule: long non-coding RNA, 1404 nt
Filed under: Felis catus (domestic cat)
Lineage: Eukaryota; Metazoa; Chordata; Mammalia; Carnivora; Felidae
Description: lncRNA (ENSFCAG00000050475.1)
Source: RNAcentral